Molecule: long non-coding RNA, 2036 nt
Organism: Numida meleagris (helmeted guineafowl)
Lineage: Eukaryota; Metazoa; Chordata; Aves; Galliformes; Numididae
Exons: 4
Source: RefSeq, a predicted model, not a curated record
AUGAACAAUUAAUGGUCUUUUCUCUGCCAUGAGAAAUAAAAUGCAGAAACACAGGAGUAUAAAGCACAAAGAGUUCCUGGAAGAUGUGAGUUCCUAUGUAGGAAGAAGACAACAGGACUCUUGGCCAAUGCAGGGCAUGACUGAGCACACAAAUACUGGGAAACUGUCCCUGGUGUAGUGUUUGUGACGUCCUUGGACCUGGAACCAGCACAGGGAACUCGGAGAGCUCCAUCGCCUGCUGGAAUGAGCUGGGUGCUGCCAGACAGCUGCACACUGCCUGAGAGACAGAGAAACCUGCUGCUCCCAUAUUUCUACCCAUGUCUGCAUUCUCCUACUCCUCAACUUCUGCUCCACUAAUAAACUCAUUAAGUAUAGCAAUAUAAUCAGCAUCCAAUCUUCCCCAGGGGACGGAGAGAGAGAAGGAAAGGAUCCCACAUGACAAAUGUUCUCGCUCUGCUUAAUGUGCUAUAGGUGCAAUUAUUAGGGGAAGGAUUUUGAGACUUUGCUUAUCCGGAGAUCAUUCUUUGCUCACUGCCUGAGCUGUGUGAGACCUGGUUGCCUUCCUGUAGGAAAGAUGUUCUGCACAGAAAGUGCGCUCCUACACCUUUCCUGUCAUAUCCAGCUAACUAACCUCAUUUUGCAUUGGUCUUCAUAGCCUGCUCCCACAGCACAGCAGGUAUAAACACCGUUCAGAAAAAGAGAAGGACAGCUGACAGCUGAGUAGCAAUAGGUUUGAGACUACUUAGAAAAAUCAGGGAGGGCAGGGAAGAGGACCUGGAGAACAGACAGUCAGCCAUCCUCACCACAGCCCCUGGAGAACAUCGUCUCAGAGUCUCUCUUCGAAGACAGAAAGGACAAGGCUAGCAGAAGCAAUCAGCAGUUGAAGGGCAGAUCGUGCUCAACCCAGCUGACUUUCUUCCAUGAAGGAAGGGCCUGAAGGGAGAGUGGUGGCGGUGAAAUGCUUCAUUCAGACUUCCAACAUCAUCUCCCACAGCAGUCUCUUUUUUAAACUAAGGGAAUGCAGGUGGAACAGACAGACUGCUGGAGCUGGGCUGGAAGGGGCAGCAGCAGAGGACACAGUGGCCAUUGUGUCCUCAGCUCCCCUGCAGCCUGGGAAGGCUGCUUCCCCAAACACAAGGGAAAAACCUGUAUGCUUCCAGCUGUGUUGCCAAUCAGCUGCCUUGCUGAAGUGGAGAGGGCUCACACCGUUCUUGGAAAUAGCCUGCUUUGUGCCCUGGGUUUCGUGCUCAUGAGCCAAGCUGGCAGAUGUAGAUCUUGUAAGUUCAGGUGAUGAAGCAGACCCCAAGAGAUGCUGGGUUGUAGCAGGUUAAGAAUCAUUAAUCAUUUCUAUUACUUGUUUGAUUAGGUGAUUAAAAUCUCCCACUGAGCCUGUUUCCAGAGAGGCUAACUCUGAAAAAGAGGAUUCCUCUGAGAUAAAAGGUUUAUAUUGUGUUUUGUUUGGAGUUGUUUUGUUUUUGCCAUCCAAGGUGAACUUGAUUGCUCUUUUUCAUUAGCUUGCAUGCUUUCCUGAUUUAAUCCUGCUUUCUUUCCCCUACAGCUGCGUUGUGCUUUCUUCGCUUGUUUUGGCUCCUCGAAGAAGAUACAGUAAAUUUAAUAGCUCUGUGAGGCUUAUGUACUUUGCUAUUGUUUUGACUACAUUAUCACCACCGUUUAAUGAUAAUGUAUUCUCAGUAUUUUGCUUGCUAAACAUGCAACUGUUUUUAACUUGCAAUAACUGCAUAAGCUCAUUAAGCACUGCUUCCCCAUUACGUUACCGUAUUACUUUACAGGUUUCAAGUUUGUCAGUGAAAUAAGAAGUUUAAUUGCUCCUCGAUUUCAGGAAAGACGGUGCUUAACAUCUUGCAUUUGAUUCCUGCCUAAUGUUUUGCUGCUUCAAUCUCUGUCUAUAAAAGCUUUCUUGCAGUUAAAUUCCUUUUGUGCACAUAAAUUCUGCCACAUGGAAUAGCAGAAAUAAAAGUAAAUAUCUUUAGUGGAGUGUAACAUGAAGAACAAGGCAAAUUAAAGAAGAAAAUGAA